Molecule: long non-coding RNA, 408 nt
Filed under: Sinocyclocheilus anshuiensis
Lineage: Eukaryota; Metazoa; Chordata; Actinopteri; Cypriniformes; Cyprinidae
Description: lncRNA (ENSSANG00000044354.1)
Source: RNAcentral
GUAGGGUUCGGGAAGAACUAUACGUUUUGACCUGUGGAGGGCAGUACGCCAAGUGGCGUCUAAACUCGUAGAUCCUCAAGAAGAAGACUAGUACAUAUAACACGAGGCGAACGCUGACAAGUCCUUUCUGGUCUGAAGCAGCAAAUAACGAUUACGUGUUGAGGAAAAAAUACGGCUGUUUGUUGGUGUUUUCCGAGGACUUCACAAAUUUAUGAUUACGUUGACGGAGGUUUGGACCGCUUUAUCCUUAAUCUUCAUAUUCAGACUUGUUUUCUUUGAACUGCUGUGUCCUAUGAAUUUCAUGUUUGUAUGUUGAGUGUAUUUAAGUCCUAUUAAAAGUUCUUCAUUCAAAUAUUGUGUUUUCAUUUAUCAUGUUUCUGUGGGUGGGGGAAAGUUCCUGACAUGUUA